UCAACAAAACAUAGAAACGGAACACAAAACAUAAAAUAAGCAAACAAUGAAAUGUGACAGUGCAUUAGGAUCAAAUCAAAAACACUAAAUUGGAAACUUCAAAGACAAACAUAUAAAAAACUGUCAUAUGAAAACUGAAGAGAAUCAUCUAAAUACUAAUUUCCAAGUGUAAAUUUGGAAUUUAGAAAAACAGUAAAGGAUUAUACAAUUCAUCACAAUUUCAACUAAUUAUUAGUUGAAUUUCAAUAAGAUAGUUUGUCCAAAGCCCUCAGAUCUCAUAGCUUAACAAAUCAUCUGCGGUUUUCUUCACAGGUUUCAUUCACAACCUUCAAGCAAUAAUUCCAUUCCAUUCACAAACACACACACACACACACACACAGAAAGAGAGAUAGUGACAUAGGAAGAGAGAGAGAGAGAGAGAGAGAGAGAGAGAGAGACGCAUAUCAGGGUGUGAACAAAACCGUGUAACGGUUCAAUGCUUUUAUUGAUACAUCACUGAGCAGGACAACAAACAAUUAACAAAAUUAUCGUUAUCAAUGUUAAAUAACCUUGAAUUUUUACAGUUUUGAUUUUGAGUUACUGUUAAUUUAAUGAUGAAAAACCCUAAAAUUUUCAGUUUUAAUUCUGACUUAAUUUAAUGUUAAAAAACCUAUUUUUCAGUUCUGAUUUAAAGUUACUAGUAAAACAAGUACAAUGUAACUAACAUAUUCACCAUAUAUAAGAGAAACAAAAACUUGAAUUUUGCAAAAUCGCCUUUGAAAUAUAAGUUACAUAUAAGUCAAAUACACAAAAAUAACAUCACUACACAUUAAACACGUUAAUAAAAUUUUAUUACAGUUUGAUUCCGAGUUAUCAAUUUAAAUUUAAUGUUAAGAACAAAGGAAAUACAAAUUAGAAUGUAAGAAAGAAAUAAACAAGGCAAUGGUGCACAUGACUAUAAACAAACCAAUGUAGCCACUCAAUAGUUUAUUUUUCCAUCAUUGGGCAGAAAAAACAAACAAGGCAUAAGAUAUUGGCUUUAAGUAUCAGAAUUUCAAGUUCAUUGGUUCAAGACUAUUUAUUUGAAGUUUUAAAACAGAAAAAAUAUUACAGAACCCCACUGGAAAAAUUCAAAUGGAUCGGAACAUAUGUAAACCAAAAGUACAGCUUUUCAGAAAAGAAAAGAUGGAAGUUAAAAAACCAAGAAAUUCCACCACAAUUUAAAACAAAUGCUGAAACGGCAACUUAAAAAGGAAGAUUAAUGAAAAAUAUAUAAAUUAGAUCAGAUAAAGUUUUCAAGGCUACGCAUUUCCAUCAAUAGCGCAGUAUUAAACUGCUCAGAGCCCAGUGCAUGUCAUCACAUCUUACACACCCAUAGAACACUUCAAUCUUAUUAAAGAAACACAGUUUAACUUCAAAUAAAAUUUCACCACAUUCACGAGUAAAUUUUUUUUGAAAUUAUCUUAAUUCGAAUGACAUUCAAUGAAGGAAUAAAGGGAAUCAUGGAGGGAUCUUGAAUCGAAGGCAUCAAAGAACUUGGUAUUAAGAGUUUAGGGUCAGAUUAAGCUUUCUAGGCUACACAUUUCCAUCAAAAAGUACAGUAAUAAACUGCUCAGAGCCCAGUGCAUAUAUCAUCAUUCACUAAGACUAAAAACAAUCAACAAAACAUAGAAACGGAACACAAAACAUAAAAUAAGCAAACAAUGAAAUGUGACAGUGCAUUAGGAUCAAAUCAAAAACACUAAAUUGGAAACUUCAAAGACAAACAUAUAAAAAACUGUCAUAUGAAAACUGAAGAGAAUCAUCUAAAUACUAAUUUCCAAGUGUAAAUUUGGAAUUUAGAAAAACAGUAAAGGAUUAUACAAUUCAUCACAAUUUCAACUAAUUAUUAGUUGAAUUUCAAUAAGAUAGUUUGUCCAAAGCCCUCAGAUCUCAUAGCUUAACAAAUCAUCUGCGGUUUUCUUCACAGGUUUCAUUCACAACCUUCAAGCAAUAAUUCCAUUCCAUUCACAAACACACACACACACACACACAGAGAAAGAGAGAUAGUGACAUAGGAAGAGAGAGAGAGAGAGAGAGAGACGCAUAUCAGGUUGUGAACAAAACCGUGUAACCGUUCAAUGCUUUUAUUGAUACAUCACUGAGCAGGACAACAAACAAUUAACAAAAUUAUCGUUAUCAAUGUUAAAUAACCUUGAAUUUUUACAGUUUUGAUUUUGAGUUACUGUUAAUUUAAUGAUGAAAAACCCUAAAAUUUUCAGUUUUAAUUCUGACUUAAUUUAAUGUUAAAAAACCUAUUUUUCAGUUCUGAUUUAAAGUUACUAGUAAAACAAGUACAAUGUAACUAACAUAUUCACCAUAUAUAAGAGAAACAAAAACUUGAAUUUUGCAAAAUCGCCUUUGAAAUAUAAGUUACAUAUAAGUCAAAUACACAAAAAUAACAUCACUACACAUUAAACACGUUAAUAAAAUUUUAUUACAGUUUGAUUCCUAGUUAUCAAUUUAAAUUUAAUGUUAAGAACAAAGGAAAUACAAAUUAGAAUGUAAGAAAGAAAUAAAA
Molecule: long non-coding RNA, 2539 nt
Filed under: Cicer arietinum (chickpea)
Lineage: Eukaryota; Viridiplantae; Streptophyta; Magnoliopsida; Fabales; Fabaceae
Description: long non-coding RNA (CARI_LNC003572)
Source: RNAcentral